UGGGGAGUAGCCAAGCGGUAAGGCACAUGGUUUUGGUCCAUGCAUGCGGGGGUUCGAAUCCCUCCUCCCCAACUA
This 75-nucleotide transfer RNA is filed under the name Candidatus Moraniibacteriota bacterium. RNAcentral's name for it is "tRNA-Gln". It matches the Rfam family "tRNA". From Rfam's summary of the family: Transfer RNA (tRNA) molecules are approximately 80 nucleotides in length. Their secondary structure includes four short double-helical elements and three loops (D, anti-codon, and T loops). Lineage: Bacteria; Candidatus Moraniibacteriota. The record is from RNAcentral.